This 407-nucleotide ribosomal RNA is filed under the name uncultured bacterium. Its description in RNAcentral is "bacterial SSU rRNA". It matches the Rfam family "Bacterial small subunit ribosomal RNA", at positions 1097 to 1503 of the family's 1533-position model. The record is from RNAcentral.
CGCAACCCCUGCUUUCAGUUACUAACAGGUCAGGCUGAGAACUCUGGAGAGACUGCCCAGGAGAACGGGGAGGAAGGUGGGGAUGACGUCAAGUCAGCAUGGCCUUUAUGCCUGGGGCUACACACGUGCUACAAUGGCCGGUACAAAGGGCUGCAAACCCGCAAGGGGGAGCCAAUCCCAAAAAACCGGCCUCAGUUCAGAUUGGGGUCUGCAACUCGACCCCAUGAAGGCGGAAUCGCUAGUAAUCGCGGAUCAGAACGCCGCGGUGAAUACGUUCCCGGGCCUUGUACACACCGCCCGUCACACCACGAAAGUUUGUUGUACCUGAAGUCGUUGCGCCAACCGCAAGGAGGCAGGCGCCCACGGUAUGACCGAUGAUUGGGGUGAAGUCGUAACAAGGUAAAGGG